This 2160-nucleotide long non-coding RNA is filed under the name Callithrix jacchus (white-tufted-ear marmoset). Its description in RNAcentral is "lncRNA (ENSCJAG00000071078.1)". The record is from RNAcentral. Lineage: Eukaryota; Metazoa; Chordata; Mammalia; Primates; Cebidae.
AUGCUCACAGCUGUCCCUGAGAGGUGCCGCUCUCCUGCCAUCGAAGUCGCAGGGAAAUUCUGCUGCACUGACGUGUUCCAAGUGCCAGAUAGAGUUGUGUGCUCUUAUACUUUUGAGAGUGGUUUAAUAUUUACUCAUUCAUUAAUGUUUCACUCUGGGCCUUGUAUUCACUCAUUUAGAGGCACCAAUUCAGCUCCUGUUCUGUGGAGACACUGCGUGGGUGCUGGAGAAACAAAGACACAAGCAGCUCCUCUCAUAGGAGUUCAGAGCCCAGCAGGGAGAUAGAUGGAUGAACGCAUGGUUAUGCAUCCAUGGGGUGCACCAGCACUGAAGUCCAAGCACUAUAGGCCUGAGUCCCAGCGUGCCUGACCCCUUCCCAUUCUGUCCUCCCGUAUCACAGCCCAAUCCAUCCUAUUGACUUCCUGCUUUAUCCCCUAUGCUGCUCUCAGCCUGGACCCUGUAUCUAGGACCCUGGCCUCUAGCAAGGACUGGAGCUCUGAAGCACUCUUUGGUUCUCCCAGUCUCUCUCCCAGGAGCUUAGAUCUUGCCUCCCCCCUGGUGAACACAGCUAGACCCUGUCCUCUGAAUUUACCUCUCCUCCAGUACCACUUUUUUCCUAUUGUUGCCCAGUCUUAGUUUGAUCUAGCCAGGACCUUUGGACACUGGCUUUGGACUGCCUGGCUAUUCUUGCUGGAUGCUGUUCUUAGCAUUUAUCUCAGAUCUUCUCCUCCGUUCUCACUGUAGCUGUCUGUGCCCAUGCCUGUUCUUGCUUUGAGAUCUCCCAGCUUGUCUCAGGUCAAAGUCUUCCAACAUAGCUCUUCCCCUUAGCCCUACAUGGUCAUGAUCCUUGUGAAUAGCUCUUUUGGCAGAGAAACUUCCUUAGAUCUCUUCAGAAGGGAGGAGCAAGAUUUUGCUUCUGUCAGAUAUAGCCCAUGUUCUGAGGCUUUGUGAGCCUACAAAUGCAGUCAUUAGCAUAAUUCUUCUUUUUUUUCUUUUUGACACAGGGUCUUAUUUUGUCUCCCAAAGUGGAGUGCAGUAGUGCAAUCUCGGCUUACUGCAACCUCUGCCUCCUGGGCUCAAACAAUCCUCUCACCUGAGCCCUCUGAAUAGCUGGGACUACCAACAUGAGCCACCACAUCCAGCUAAUUUUUGUAUUUUUUGUAAUUUUUUGAGAUGGGGUUUUGCUAUGUUGCCCAGGCUGGUCUUGAACUCCUGGGCUCAAUCAAUCCUCCUGCCUUCACCUCCCAAAGUGUUAUGAUUACAGGUGUAAGCCACUGUGCCUGGUCCAUUCACCGAUCUCAUUAUAAGACCUAGAAGAUGACUGGUGAGGUAUGAAGUGACAUAUAACUCACUCAUUAACUCCACAGUGUGGAAGUCAAAUGCUUUGUGUUCACUUCAAGGGAAAGUAUAAAAUUGUGUAUUAAAUAACUUAAUGAAAUAUAAAUGUAUAUGUCUCUGUGUGUGUGUGUGUGGGUAUAUGUGUGUAUACAUAUAUUAGUGGGAAAGAUGGAAAUGAAAAUCAGUAUUUCUUAGCUUCUUAUUUUAAUUGUUAUGUCAUGCAAAUAAAUUUCAACAUAUACUUUUUGGUGUGAUAGGGUUAUUUCAUUUAGAUAAUGACAAGGUUGAAGAAAAAAUGUUCUUUCCAUAAUAUUACUCCUUGAUGUACCUAAGCUUUAGGAUUACUUCUGCUGUUAAACUAAUUUGCCAAUAUGCCUCUCAACGUUGUAUUUCUCUGCAAGAAUAACAGCUUAAAACAUAAAAAGACUCCACAAAAAAAGAAGAAAAAUGUUCCUUCAAACAGUUUAUUUAUUUUUGUGGACAGAGUCUCAUUCUUUAGCCCAGGCUUAAUGCAGUGAUAUGAUUUUAGCUCACUACAGUCUCUGCCUCUUGGACUCAAGUGAUCCUCCUGGCUCAGCCUCGCAAGAAACUGGGACUACAGACAUAGCUCACCAGGCCCAGCUAUUUAUUUAUUUAUUUACUGGUAGAGACAGGGCUUCACUAUCUUGGCUGGUCUGGUCUCAAACUCCUGAUCUCAAGUGAUCUGCUUGCCAAGGCCUCCCAAAGUGCUGGGAUUACAGGCUUCAGCCACCAUGCCUGGCCCCAUACCAUUUAUUUUGGGGGCAACAGUGCUAUUUCAAAAUCAGAGUACUUAGUUUCAAG